CCUACGGGUGGCAGCAGUGAGGAAUAUUGGUCAAUGGACGAGAGUCUGAACCAGCCAAGUAGCGUGAAGGAUGACUGCCAUACGGGUUGUAAACUUCUUUUAUAAAGGAAUAAAACGAGGCACGUGUGCCUUUUUGCAUGUACUUCAUGAAUAAGGAUCGGCUAACUCCGUGCCAGCAGCCGCGGUAAUACGGAGGAUCCGAGCGUUAUCCGGAUUUAUUGGGUUUAAAGGGAGCGUAGAUGGGUUGUUAAGUCAGUUGUGAAAGUUUGCGGCUCAACCGUAAAAUUGCAAUUGAUACUGGCAGUCGUGAGUACAGUUGAGGUAGGCGGAAUUCGUGGUGUAGCGGUGAAAUGCUUAGAUAUCACGAAGAACCCCGAUUGCGAAGGCAGCUUACUAAACUGUGACUGACAUUGAUGCUCGAAAGUGUGGGUAUCAAACAGGAUUAGAUACCCUGGUAGUC
This 460-nucleotide ribosomal RNA is filed under the name uncultured bacterium. RNAcentral describes it as "partial 16S ribosomal RNA". It matches the Rfam family "Bacterial small subunit ribosomal RNA", at positions 338 to 795 of the family's 1533-position model. The record is from RNAcentral.